CAACACAAACAGCCCUCCAACAUCCAGUGAAUACAGGAUCAGCAGAGUUUCAGUGUCCCACAGUGGAGACUACAGAUGUCGGGGUAGCAGUGACUAUCUCUUAACAGGAUGGAGUGAUGCCUUCAGACUGACAGUUUCAUCAAGUAAACCCAGAGCCACACUGACAGCACACAGUUCAAUCAUACCAGCAGGGGGCAGUGUGACACUGAGCUGCUCUGUGGAGGGCUCUGCUGGCUGGAAGUUUGACUGGUUCAGACGUGAUUCACAGUUUUCUGGAGCUCAGAAAAUAGGAGCUGGAACAUCA
Oreochromis niloticus (Nile tilapia) is the source of this 304-nucleotide long non-coding RNA. RefSeq lists it as uncharacterized. The record is from RefSeq and is a predicted model, not a curated record. NCBI's taxonomy places the organism in Eukaryota, Metazoa, Chordata, Actinopteri, Cichliformes, Cichlidae. The transcript is spliced from 2 exons.